RNAcentral lists this ribosomal RNA (736 nucleotides) under Bacillus sp. (in: firmicutes). Its description in RNAcentral is "bacterial SSU rRNA". It matches the Rfam family "Bacterial small subunit ribosomal RNA", at positions 79 to 792 of the family's 1533-position model. Lineage: Bacteria; Bacillati; Bacillota; Bacilli; Caryophanales; Bacillaceae. The record is from RNAcentral.
CUUGCUCCCGGAUGUUAGCGGCGGACGCGGUGAGUAACACGUGGGUAACCUGCCUGUAAGACUGGGAUAACUCCGGGAAACCGGAGCUAAUACCGGAUAGUUCCUUGAACCGCAUGGUUCAAGGAUGAAAGACGGAUUUCGUGCUGUCACUUACAGAUGGCACCCGCGGCGCAUUAGCUAGUUGGUGAGGUAACGGCUCACCAAGGCGACGAUGCGUAGCCGACCUGAGAGGGUGAUCGGCCACACUGGGACUGAGACACGGCCCAGACUCCUACGGGAGGCAGCAGUAGGGAAUCUUCCGCAAUGGACGAAAGUCUGACGGAGCAACGCCGCGUGAGUGAUGAAGGUUUUCGGAUCGUAAAGCUCUGUUGUUAGGGAAGAACAAGUGCAAGAGUAACUGCUUGCACCUUGACGGUACCUAACCAGAAAAGCCACGGCUAACUACGUGCCAGCACCCGCGGUAAUACGUAGGUGGCAAGCGUUGUCCGGAAUUAUUGGGCGUAAAGGGCUCGCAGGCGGUUUCUUAAGUCUGAUGUGAAAGCCCCCGGCUCAACCGGGGAGGGUCAUUGGGAAACUGGGGAAACUUGAGUGCAGAAGAGGAGAGUGGAAUUCCACGUGUAGCGGUGAAAUGCGUAGAGAUGUGGAGGAACACCAGUGGCGAAAGCGACUCUCUGGUCUGUAACUGACGCUGAGGAGCGAAAGCGGUGGGGAGCGAACAGGAUUAGAUACCCUGGUA